This 415-nucleotide unclassified non-coding RNA is filed under the name Hevea brasiliensis (rubber tree). Lineage: Eukaryota; Viridiplantae; Streptophyta; Magnoliopsida; Malpighiales; Euphorbiaceae. The record is from RNAcentral.
CACCGGCUGCUGCAGCAGCCGGUGUUUGUACAAUUCUAGCUACCAAAGGAAGAACCACUAAGUCUUCAGAUUUUGAAUCCAUCAUUGUGUUUCUUGAUCAGAGAGCAAAACACCGCUGGCAUUAACCGCGGCAGCAAUAUCAACACGUCCAUCGAUCAACAAGUAAGCCAUGCCUUUAAUUAUGGACUUCAACAAACAUGCAGCCUCGUACAACUUCCCGCCGCUUGCUCCACCCCCACUGAGCACCACAACAUCAACCCGACCCGAAAUCGCCUGGUCUAUCUCAUUGACAACUGUUUCAUCUCGCAAUACAUCUUCACAGCUCACCUUUAACACUAAACCCGGCACUUUGAUCUCCGGCCUCUUAAAUCCACCAGGGAAAAGAGUUCUAGGAGUUUGCUCGGGUCGGUUUACA